CGUGUGCUUUCUUCUGGACAUGUGGAAACAGAACUAAAUACAAGAAACAAAAACCAAGAACUUUAGAUGUAGUUUCUGAACCUGCCAUGAAUAAAUCCACACAAAUGGCUACCAAUUGAGGCUCUGAAAUAUCUCAGUAUAGAAUUCAAAACAGUUAGAUAUAUAUCUAUUAAAUUUCCAGAUUUGUUAAUUUGGAUAUUAUGCUCAUCAUUGAUUAAUUUUUUGAUAUAUUCAACGAGUGAUUGACUCUCCUCUAUUAUUAUUGACAUCAUACUUUGUCGACCAAAGCCGAAAUCACGGAGAUGUUUCAAUACGAAUCUUCUUUGUUCAGUCCAUAAAUUACCAUCAACGAGAAGUAAUCCUUAAAUCGAAGAAAUACAAAUAUAAUUGAUUAAAUAAAAUUAAACAUUUGGAUGAAGUUCAAGAAAAAUUAUCUCUUUUCUUCAUUCAAAUCAUUUCGAUGAUUUCUUGAAAUCUCGAUAUUAUCUCGAGAUAUAUUAGGAAAUGUUAGAGAAAUCAAAAUUUUUAAUUUUUUAUAUUAUAUAAAACCCGGCAAUUGACUUUAAUUUUCGAAAUAUUUGUAAAAAAAGAAUGCUAUUAUUACAUAAAAUUUUAUCUAUAAAUAUAUAUCUGUGAUUAUUUAUAUAUACAUGUAUGUAAAUGUGUACAUAAGCAUAAAAUUACCAUUUAUCUUCUGUAUUUAUUCUAUCUUAUAUAAAUAUAUAUUA
This is a long non-coding RNA of Apis laboriosa (Himalayan honeybee), 728 nucleotides long. RefSeq lists it as uncharacterized. The record is from RefSeq and is a predicted model, not a curated record. Lineage: Eukaryota; Metazoa; Arthropoda; Insecta; Hymenoptera; Apidae. The transcript has 3 exons.